RNAcentral lists this ribosomal RNA (404 nucleotides) under uncultured bacterium. RNAcentral's name for it is "bacterial SSU rRNA". It matches the Rfam family "Bacterial small subunit ribosomal RNA", at positions 355 to 774 of the family's 1533-position model. The record is from RNAcentral.
UGGGGAAUAUUGCACAAUGGGCGAAAGCCUGAUGCAGCAACGCCGCGUGAGCGAUGAAGGCCUUUGGGUCGUAAAGCUCUGUCCUUGGGGAAGAAAAAAAUGACGGUACCCUUGGAGGAAGCCCCGGCUAACUACGUGCCAGCAGCCGCGGUAAUACGUAGGGGGCAAGCGUUAUCCGGAAUUAUUGGGCGUAAAGAGUGCGUAGGUGGUUUUGUAAGCGCGGGGUGAAAGGCUAUGGCUCAACCAUAGUAAGCCCUGCGAACUGUGAGACUUGAGUGCAGGAGAGGAAAGUGGAAUUCCUAGUGUAGCGGUGAAAUGCGUAGAUAUUAGGAGGAACACCAGUGGCGAAGGCGACUUUCUGGACUGUAACUGACACUGAGGCACGAAAGCGUGGGGAGCAAACA